Molecule: ribosomal RNA, 430 nt
Filed under: uncultured Pseudomonas sp.
Lineage: Bacteria; Pseudomonadati; Pseudomonadota; Gammaproteobacteria; Pseudomonadales; Pseudomonadaceae
Description: bacterial SSU rRNA
Rfam family: Bacterial small subunit ribosomal RNA
Source: RNAcentral
GCAACGCGAAGAACCUUACAGGCCUUGACAUGCAGAGAACUUUCCAGAGAUGGAUUGGUGCCGUUCGGGAACUCUGACACAGGUGCUGCAUGGCUGUCGUCAGCUCGUGUCGUGAGAUGGUUGGGUUAACGUCCCGUAACGAGCGCAACCCUUGUCCUUAGUUACCAGCACGUUAUGGUGGGCACUCUAAGGAGACUGCCGGUGACAAACCGGAGGAAGGGUGGGGAUGACGUCAAGUCAUCAUGGCCCUUACGGCCUGGGCUACACACGUGCUACAAUGGUCGGUACAAAGGGUUGCCAAGCCGCGAGGUGGAGCUAAUCCCAUAAAACCGAUCGUAGUCCGGAUCGCAGUCUGCAACUCGACUGCGUGAAGUCGGAAUCGCUAGUAAUCGUGAAUCAGAAUGUCACGGUGAAUACGUUCCCGGGCCUU